RNAcentral lists this ribosomal RNA (507 nucleotides) under uncultured crenarchaeote. RNAcentral's name for it is "SSU rRNA". It matches the Rfam family "Archaeal small subunit ribosomal RNA", at positions 345 to 856 of the family's 1478-position model. Lineage: Archaea; Thermoproteati; Thermoproteota. The record is from RNAcentral.
AACCUCUGCAAUAGGCGAAAGCUUGACAGGGUUACUCUGAGUGAUUUCCGUUAAGGAGAUCUUUUGGCACCUCUAAAAAUGGUGCAGAAUAAGGGGUGGGCAAGUCUGGUGUCAGCCGCCGCGGUAAUACCAGCACCCCGAGUGGUCGGGACGUUUAUUGGGCCUAAAGCAUCCGUAGCCGGUUCUACAAGUCUUCCGUUAAAUCCACCUGCUCAACAGAUGGGCUGCGGAAGAUACUAUGGAGCUAGGAGGCGGGAGAGGCAAGCGGUACUCGAUGGGUAGGGGUAAAAUCCGUUGAUCCAUUGAAGACCACCAGUGGCGAAGGCGGCUUGCCAGAACGCGCUCGACGGUGAGGGAUGAAAGCUGGGGGAGCAAACCGGAUUAGAUACCCGGGUAGUCCCAGCUGUAAACGAUGCAGACUCGGUGAUGAGUUGGCUUUAUGCCAACUCAGUGCCGCAGGGAAGCCGUUAAGUUUGCCGCGCUGGGAGUACGUCGCAUGAAGCUCCC